Molecule: ribosomal RNA, 462 nt
Filed under: uncultured bacterium
Lineage: Bacteria
Description: bacterial SSU rRNA
Rfam family: Bacterial small subunit ribosomal RNA
Source: RNAcentral
GGACCCGCACAAGCAGCGGAGCAUGUGGUUUAAUUCGAAGAUACGCGAAGAACCUUACCAAGGCUUGACAUCGUAUGCAAUCCAUAGAGAUAUGGAGUUCCUUCGGGACAUACAGACAGGUGGUGCAUGGUUGUCGUCAGCUCGUGUCGUGAGAUGUUGGGUUAAGUCCCGCAACGAGCGCAACCCUUAUCGAUAGUUGCCAAUAUUAAGUUAGGAACUCUAUUGAGACUGCCGUGGAUAACACGGAGGAAGGUGGGGAUGACGUCAAAUCAUCAUGCCCCUUACGUCUUGGGCUACACACGUGCUACAAUGGCUACUACAAAGAGCUGCGAAAUGGCAACAUGGAGCGAAUCUCAUAAAAGUAGUCUCAGUUCGGAUUGUGGGCUGCAACCCGCCCACAUGAAGCAGGAGUUGCUAGUAAUCCCGAAUCAGCAUGUCGGGGUGAAUGCGUUCCCGGGUCUU